CUUGUUGAUAAGAGGAGUAAAAUAAUAUAAUUUUCUUAGAGAGUUAGUGUUUGGUGAAAACUAACAAAUUAUUUAUUUGAAGGUUGCUUAUCUUAUAAAAGUAAAAUCGCAUAUCUGCGUUAAAGAUUAAGUGCAUAGAAAUAUCUAUGAAGUAAGGUGGUACCGCGAACUAAUCGUCCUUACA
RNAcentral lists this non-coding RNA (184 nucleotides) under Clostridium sp. Its description in RNAcentral is "T-box sequence". It matches the Rfam family "T-box leader". Rfam says of the family: Uncharged tRNA acts as the effector for transcription antitermination of genes in the T-box leader family. T-boxes are found upstream of many aminoacyl-tRNA synthetase genes and some amino acid biosynthetic genes usually in Gram-positive bacteria. Lineage: Bacteria; Bacillati; Bacillota; Clostridia; Eubacteriales; Clostridiaceae. The record is from RNAcentral.